UACAGAGGUCUCAAGCGUUGUUCGGAUUCAUUGGGCGUAAAGGGUGCGUAGGUGGCGGGGUAAGUCUGGUGUGAAAUCUCGGGGCUCAACCCCGAAACUGCACUGGAUACUGCCUUGCUCGAGUACUGGAGAGGAGAUUGGAAUUUACGGUGUAGCAGUGAAAUGCGUAGAUAUCGUAAGGAAGAUCAGUGGCGAAGGCGAAUCUCUGGACAGUUACUGACACUGAGGCACGAAGGCCAGGGGAGCAAACGGG
RNAcentral lists this ribosomal RNA (253 nucleotides) under uncultured bacterium. RNAcentral describes it as "partial 16S ribosomal RNA". It matches the Rfam family "Bacterial small subunit ribosomal RNA", at positions 524 to 776 of the family's 1533-position model. The record is from RNAcentral.